AUCCGGCUGAAGAGUCCCAAAACAGGACGAAACGCGCGUCCUGGAU
Molecule: non-coding RNA, 46 nt
Filed under: Schistosoma margrebowiei
Lineage: Eukaryota; Metazoa; Platyhelminthes; Trematoda; Strigeidida; Schistosomatidae
Source: RNAcentral